CUUAUUCUUUUCUCCUUCUCUCUCUACUCGGGCUCUCUCUUUUCCCGACCCAAGAGGCUGACACGGCUUCUCCACCACAAUACACCGUCGUCCGGCCGACUCAGACGGCGAGACCACCAUCAGUCGCUCCAUCUCACCGAGCUCUACAAUGCCCGGUAUUUGCAGGUGGGGUUUGAGUCGUCUCUCCACAAAAUCGUGAUCGAGCAAUGGACGCCGAUUGAGGUUAUCGGAGAAACGAUGAACUCCAGUGAGUUUCCUUUCUCUUCUCGUGAUUUGCAUGUAACCGGUUGAUGAGGAUUGGAGGAGCAGCCGCUUGGAUUUGAGAUGUAGGAUUGCAGCCCCGCCGUGGCCAUCGUUUCAGUUCGUGGAUGUAGUGAUUUCCAUUAAUUCCGUUAGAUUCGAGAUUGUUGGUGUGUUGUUAUCUUUGUUGUGGCAUUGCUACUGAGUUGAUGAUGGUCGGAGUGAGUAGUUUGGCCAAAAUUUUUCUUGAUCGGAAAAGAGAGGGUGAAACCUUGGUUGUUUUUACCGAGCAAGAGUUACCUUUUUACCGUUUUACAGCUAAGUGAAAUAACGGUUUUACCCAUGUAGUUUUUAGUAUAUAUAGUCCUGCCCCUGGCAGAUUUACAGUGUGGAAACUUACCAUUUUACAUUUGGAGUUCGUUGAUUGUUUAUCCGGGAA
Molecule: long non-coding RNA, 679 nt
Organism: Argentina anserina (silverweed cinquefoil)
Lineage: Eukaryota; Viridiplantae; Streptophyta; Magnoliopsida; Rosales; Rosaceae
Exons: 2
Source: RefSeq, a predicted model, not a curated record